RNAcentral lists this unclassified non-coding RNA (327 nucleotides) under Hevea brasiliensis (rubber tree). The record is from RNAcentral. Lineage: Eukaryota; Viridiplantae; Streptophyta; Magnoliopsida; Malpighiales; Euphorbiaceae.
AAAAUAGGCCAGAAAUCACUGAUGUUGGCAAACAACUUAGACAGAUUUAUCAAUCCCUAAUUUCACUUGGGAUGCAAACGCACUGAAGGGCAAGCCUUGCAUAAGCUUUGAGUUGCUGCUCUUUCCCAGACCAUGUCCCCUCUUCAAUAAUUAUAGGGUCCAUAAGCUUGUCUAACUUUUCAUUUUCUUCCAUACAUUUCUCGAAAAACUUCACAACAGGCAAAUCUUGGUCAUUAUCCGGUGGAUCGUACGGAGCUUUUCCAGUCAAAAGCUCUAGCAGAAGUACACCAAAACCAAAAACAUCAGCCUUCUCAUUAAACUUACCUU